This 521-nucleotide ribosomal RNA is filed under the name uncultured Glomeraceae. RNAcentral's name for it is "SSU rRNA". It matches the Rfam family "Eukaryotic small subunit ribosomal RNA", at positions 569 to 1092 of the family's 1831-position model. The record is from RNAcentral. Lineage: Eukaryota; Fungi; Glomeromycota; Glomeromycetes; Glomerales; Glomeraceae.
AGCAGCCGCGGUAAUUCCAGCUCCAAUAGCGUAUAUUAAAGUUGUUGCAGUUAAAAAGCUCGUAGUUGAAUUUCGAGACCGGUCUACUGGUCGUGCUUUUGUACGUACUGGUAUAGUCGGUUUCUCUCUUCUGACGAACUAUAAUGCCAUUAAUUUGGUGUUUUAGGGAAUCAGGACUGUUACUUUGAAAAAAUUAGAGUGUUUAAAGCAGGCUCACGCUUGAAUACAUUAGCAUGGAAUAACGAAAUAGGACGUUUGAUUCUAUUUUGUUGGUUUCUAGGAUCGACGUAAUGAUUAAUAGGGAUAGUUGGGGGCAUUAGUAUUCAAUUGUCAGAGGUGAAAUUCUUGGAUUUAUUGAAGACUAACUACUGCGAAAGCAUUUGCCAAGGAUGUUUUCAUUAAUCAAGAACGAAAGUUAGGGGAUCGAAGACGAUCAGAUACCGUCGUAGUCUUAACCAUAAACUAUGCCGACUAGGGAUCGGAUGAUGUUAAUUUUUUAAUGACUCAUUCGGCGCCUUACG